GCAUCUGUUAGGAAGCCCCUGCACUCAGCUCCUCUCUGCCUCACCACAAGGUCUUUCUGAGGGGUAGCAGGACAGUUCUCUGUAGCGUUGGCUAGAUUCACCACAGGGAGUGUGUGUAGUGUGGCAAGUCAUUUAGAGAGUGUGGAAGGUCACAGAGGAGAAAGGGAACCGACGACUGAAUCUCUUGUCCUACAAAGGCUUCCUGCAGUUUAAUGGGAGCUGUGGAAGUCUCCGUAGCAGUGGGGGCGCAGGUCUGGCACACUAAGACAACUGUGGA
This 277-nucleotide long non-coding RNA is filed under the name Salmo trutta (river trout). Its description in RNAcentral is "lncRNA (ENSSTUG00000050096.1)". Lineage: Eukaryota; Metazoa; Chordata; Actinopteri; Salmoniformes; Salmonidae. The record is from RNAcentral.